RNAcentral lists this ribosomal RNA (398 nucleotides) under uncultured bacterium. RNAcentral's name for it is "partial 16S ribosomal RNA". It matches the Rfam family "Bacterial small subunit ribosomal RNA", at positions 523 to 918 of the family's 1533-position model. The record is from RNAcentral.
AUACGCAGGGUGAGAGCGUUGUCCGGACUUACUGGGCGUCAAGAGCUCGUAGGUGGUUUGUCGCGUCGUCUGUGAAAUUCCGAGGCUUAACUCCGGGCGUGCAGGCGAUACGGGCAUAACUUGAGUACUGUAGGGGAGACUGGAAUUCCUGGUGUAGCGGUGAAAUGCGCAGAUAUCAGGAGGAACACCGGUGGCGAAGGCGGGUCUCUGGGCAGUAACUGACGCUGAGGAGCGAAAGCAUGGGUAGCGAACAGGAUUAGAUACCCUGGUAGUCCAUGCCGUAAACGGUGGGCGCUAGGUGUAGGGGUCUUCCACGACUUCUGUGCCGUAGCUAACGCAUUAAGCGCCCCGCCUGGGGAGUACGGCCGCAAGGCUAAAACUCAAAGGAAUUGACGGGG